UGCAAGGCAUACGGCUCAGUAACACGUAGUCAACUUACCCUAUGGACGAGGAUAAUCUCGGGAAACUGAGCAUAAUACUCGAUAGAUCAUAAUGCCUGGAAUGGUUUAUGGUUGAAAUGAUUCGUCGCCAUAGGAUGGGACUGCGGCCUAUCAGCUUGUUGGUGAGGUAAUGGCCCACCAAGGCGAUUACAGGUACGGGCUCUGAGAGGAGAAGCCCGGAGAUGGGUACUGAGACAAGGACCCAGGCCCUAUGGGGCGCAGCAGGCGAGAAAACUUUGCAAUGUGCGAAAGCACGACAAGGUUAAUCCGAGUGAUUUCUGCUAAAGAAAUCUUUUGCAAGUCAUAAAACCACUAGUGAAUAAGGGGUGGGCAAGUUCUGGUGUCAGCCGCCGCGGUAAAACCA
Molecule: ribosomal RNA, 403 nt
Filed under: uncultured archaeon
Lineage: Archaea
Description: bacterial SSU rRNA
Rfam family: Archaeal small subunit ribosomal RNA
Source: RNAcentral